Mustela lutreola (European mink) is the source of this 5797-nucleotide long non-coding RNA. RefSeq lists it as uncharacterized. NCBI's taxonomy places the organism in Eukaryota, Metazoa, Chordata, Mammalia, Carnivora, Mustelidae. The record is from RefSeq and is a predicted model, not a curated record. The transcript has 2 exons.
GCCACCCAGGCACCGCUGGGCCUUAAUUUUCUUACUGAAAUCAGAGUUGGGCUGGUACUUCUUAAAAUUUGGUCCAAGUCUAAUGUUAUAUAGUUCACAUGAAUACAGACCAGAGCCUUGAGGGGAAUAGGGUAGAGAGAAAACUCUCUUUUUUGAUUUUUCACAAAAACCACAGUGGGAAGGACACCUGGGUGGCUCAGUGGGUUAAGCCGCUGCCUUCGGCUCAGGUCAUGAUCCCAGGGUCCUGGGAUGGAGUCUCACAUCAGGCUCCUUGCUUGGCAGGGAGCCUGCUUCUCUCUCUGCCUCUGCCUGCUUCUCUGCCUACUUGUGAUCUCUCUCUUUCUCUCUCUCUAACAAAUAAAUAAAUAAAUAAAAUCCUGAAAACAACAACAACAACAACACAGUGGGAGAAAAAACUGGGGGGGAUCUGUUUAAACUUCUGGGUUACAUGAUUCUGUUAACACAUGCUGAUCUGGUUUUAUGAGGUGUUCUUCAUGAGAUUGCGUAGCUUUUGUCUAAAAGGGGUUAAUACGCUUUUUAAACGAAGGUGGGUAUAAGCAGAACUGAUCAAAAGCAGAUACAACAGGGGCACCUGAGCGGCUCAGUUGGUUUAGCAUCCGACUCGUGAUUUCAGUUCAGGUCAUGAUCUCAGGGUCGUGAGGUCAAGCCGCGGGUUGGGCUCUGCACUCAGGCCCAGGUGUCCUUGAGAUUUUCUCUCCAUCUGUCCUUCCCCCUGCUUGUGCAUGCUUUCUCUCUAAAUAAAUAAACAAAAUCUUUAAGAAAAAAAGCAAAUGGAACACUGAUAAAAGCAAUGAAAAUAAGUAAUGGGGAUUCCUGCUCAGUUCACUGAGCUCUAACUGAACUUCGCAGUCAUGACCUCAUGAGAUCCUGCAAGGUAAGUCUGAUCAUCUCAUUUUUAUCGAUCUAGUCAUUGGCUGGCUAGCCAGGCAGCGGCAGAGCUGUGAUCUGAACCCAGAUACACUUAACUUGAAAGCUCCCAACCCAUCGAAUACACCUCAGAUUCAGUUUCUCUUCUUUAUGGGAAAGUUUGAGAAGCAACUGGUUUAGGCAACUUGAUUUUUUAAAAAACUUGUCCUACAUGAUAAUACAGAUCAGGUGUUCCUUUGCUUGAUGGUUCAAGGAAAACCUUCUACUGAGGAUGAGAGAGUGAAGUUCUGUUUUUAGAGCCUGGAGUCCUUGCUUACUGACCGGUUUGUGAAUUUCUGAUCUCCGCUUGCCUAUUUCCUUCCUUGAAAACUGAAUAUAUCAUAGAAUAUACAACACCAAGAGUGAAUCCUAUUAUAAAUGAUGGAUUCUAGGUGAUGAGGAAGUUCAUGGAUUCCAACAGAUGUGUCAGUCUAGCGUGGCUAUCAAUCGUGGGAGCAACUGUGCAUGUGUGGGGAGACAGAGUAUACGGGAACUCUUAGUACUUUCUACUCAAUUUUGCCGUGAACCCAAAACUGCUCUAAAAAUAUAUAUUAAAAAAAAAAAAAAACUGACCCAACACAAUUGAGUAUGUGAGCUGGUAGGCUUUGCCAAAGAUGGGAGAGCCAGAAAGAUAAAGCCUGUUAAAUUCUUUUUUUAUCCAUUUGGAUAAAAGGUGCUUUUGAAAGAGAGGGUUUUGUCAAGUGCCAUGAUCUCAUCAUCUGGCAACACCAGUAGGAGAGGAGCCAAGGGAAACCCAGGGCGUUGACGUGUGGGUGAUUCAGGGGCCCACACCGCUGACAGUGAGCAGCCCCUGGUUUGGAGUUGGUGGGAGGGGGCAGGGGACAUGCUGUUCCCUUUCGGGUUGUGCUGAUCAGUCAUGAGAGCCUGGAGGCUCCCACCUUGGGCUUCUGCCUGCCCAGAAGUGCCAGGCGCUGGCUUUUGCUUCUCUUUGUUGUUUUGGGCUAUGUUUCCCCCUUUGUUCUUCCAUAGAUGGUUGCGAACUGUGGUGGUGGCUCUUUCAAGGGCUUUGCUGACACUGGGCAGCCCUGGAUCUCCGUGUACGGACAUUCCCGCCCACUCCCCAAGCUGUGCCCUCACAGGCAGCAUCUAGGGGCAAAUAACAUGCCCGAAACACACCCUUUAAUGUGUUUUGCGUGUGGUUUUGUGUGUUUUUUUGUUUGGUUUAUUUAAUAAUAUUACUAGCCUAUGUAUAAAGCUUUAUAAAACUUUUCAUUCCUGUAUCACAUUUAGUUCUUACGACGGUAUCUGGUCAGCGGGUGGGUGAGCGAUGGUAUUAGAGAGGCUGGGGGCUCGUCUUCUGGACUGUAGAAAGAGAAACUCAGUGAAUGAAGUGACCUCCUUCAGCUCGGAGCCGCAGGGCGACGUGGGUAACAUGGACCAUGGUUCCGGGACUCUUUCCUGUCCCGAGGUUUCUGGCCACCUUAGGCCCUGGGGUCUCACUUGUGCUGCUUAAGUACCGACAAAGUCAGCUAAAAUAGGGGAUGCUUUUCUUGGUAGCCAUUGAGGGAGAAGAUUAAUCCUGUGUAUUUGUGUUUGUGGGAUUUUCCCCCAAGGUAGCACUUUCUCAGGAGAUUUAAGAUCCUGGGUAGGAAACAAUAGGCAAAAUGAUUCUUUAGGAGGACUCUCUCCCCUUCUUCCCUUUGUCUGUGCUGUUGUGGCCAAGCACUUACCCAAACCUUUCUUAAUUUUAUCCAUAGUGCUACAUUUUAAGAAACAAACUCCACAGGAAAACAAAGCUGAGCGAAGUGGCUGGCCUCCUCUGAGGGACACCCAGCCCAGGUCACAUGAGGAGCCAUGACACCCUCGGGAAGCCGGGCUCCUGCUGACAGGACGGGGUAUCAGAAUCGCAGGCAAAUGGUCCAAGUGGCUGUUCAGUAUCUUCGGCUUUCACAGCUUCCCUUCCAAGCCAGUAAUUCCCUUGAGUCCCUUGAGUGACCUGUGUUCCAUGCUCAGGUGGUCCCCCGACCCCUCCCCAGCUGGCUCCUUCCCCAGCAAAUGUGAGAGAUGGCUGAUUGGCGCCCCUCAGCCUGCUGCAGCCGCAUAGGCUAUAGGUGGAUAUUUAAGCCUUUUUUUUUUUUUUUAAAAGAUUUUAUCUAUUUAUUUGACAGACAGAAAUCACAAGUAGGCAGAGAGCCCGAUGCAGAGCUCCAUCCCAGGAUCCUGAGAUCAUGACCAGAGCCGAAAGCAGAGGCUUCAACCCCCUGAGCCACCCGAUGCCCCUAUAGGUGGAUGUUUAAAAAGAACAACUCUCCUCCCACUCUGCUCCCCACGAGCUACUUGGAUUAACCCUGGAAGGAUGUUUCCGUUAAGGAAACCACCGUAGCAUUGAAGAGUUUUAAACUGGAAAGGCGCACAUAGAAGGAAUGCCGAUAAAGUCUGAAAUAAAGAGAAUUCCUUGGACUUUGUAUUGGUGAAAUAGCCAAUACCUGCAGCCCAGAAAUGGCAGCCUCGCGGAUUUUCAGGAAACAGAACUGGAAGAGGGGAGGAAAGGGAGCCAACUCAGCUAAAAGCAUCCAUUAGACACCACAUGAAGCCCACAGGAUGCAUUUAAACAGAACUGUUCUGAGAUGGGUGAGUUGAAAGAGACUUGACACUACGAAGUCGUGUUUGGAAUGCUGUAACUACCCCAGAAAUACUGUGGGUGAUGCUGCCCUGGGAAUGCUGAUUGGAAUCUCCAGUAGAUCUAGGUUCUCCUUGCCACGUUUUGGUUCCCUACCAGGAGCGAAUACUUUUUUCAGCCUCUAAUAGGCAAUCCAUAAGUGUUCAAAUUACCUUUUAAUUAAAUUACAUGAAUGGUCUACAUAUGUUUUUAGAGUCCACUAUUACAUCCACUAUUACUACUUGGUACAUCCACUAUUACUACUGUGUGACUUUGGGAAAGUGACUUCAUCUCUCUGUGCUUCAUUUAUGAAGUGGAGAUGGUAUUACUCUCUACAACAUAGGGUUAUUAUGUGGAUUGAUUAUUUUUAUUUUUUUACUGUUCUCUUUCUUUUUUUUUUUUAAUUAAAUUCAAUAGCUGACAUACAGUACAUCAUUAGUUUUUGACAUAGAGUUCAGUGGUUCAUCAGUUGCACAUAACAGCCAGUGCUCAUCACAACCCAUGCCCUCCCUAAUUAAUGCCCAUGGCCCAGUUAUCCCAUGCCCCCAACCCCCACACCUCCUGCAACCCUCAGUUUGUUUCCUGAGUCAAGAGUCUCUCAUGGUUGUCUCCUUCUCUGAUUAUUUUUAAAAUAAGAACCUUAGUAAGGGGGUCAAUAAAUGUUAGCUAUUACUAUUAAUAGUAGUAGUAUUAAGGCUAACUUUUCUUCAGCUGUGUUAUAGAUGCUAGGUGUGUCCUUCAGUUGUUACUCAAUUUUUUCAUUUUUUAAGAAUUGUAAAAUACAUAUACCCUUAAAUUUACCAUCUUAGCCCCCCCUUUUAAAAAUAUUUUAUUUAUUUACUUGACAGACAGAGAUCACAAGUAGGCAGAGAGGUAGGCAGAGAGAGAGGGAGAAGCAGACUCCCCGCUGAGCAGAGAGCCGGAUGUGGGGCUUGAUCCUAGAACCCUGAGAUCAUGACCUGAGACAAAGGCAGAGGCUUUAACCCACUGAGCCACCCAGGCAUCCCCAUCUUAGCCCUUUUUAAGUGAUUUUAAGCCACAGCUCUGUGGCUCAAGUCUCUUCACACUGUGGUGCAGAAUAUGUUAUUUUAAGUGGGGAGCAGAUCAGGGAAGGCAUGGUUGCAGAUGGGUGUGGGUGCUCUGUUCGCAGCAUUCAGGGUCCUGAUCUGGGCAUAGCCCAGUGUGGGGAGCGAGCAGGGUGACCAGGCCAUACGGAGGAGAACCAGGCAAUUGUUGUCCAGCUGUUCUGUGAGCAACUGAGAGGCUGACACUCAAAUAUUUAUGUCGUAUCAUCUCUCCACUUUGUUUUUAUCCACUUCACGGGCUUCAUUGGCUCAAUCAGUUCUUUGAUCCUGCAAAGUAAAGCCCGGGUUCAGAUCCACUUUGCGGACAUCGUUUGUUUGAAAUGUCAGCAAAUUAGUGGGUAAGAGAACAUUUAGCAGUGCAGUGUGCCACAAUUCAGAGGUUCAUGAUUCAGGUCUUAAUCCGGAUACCUGGAUUAAGUGUGGAACUGAACGCAGUCAUCUGACUGCAUUCCUUGAAAUGGACAAGCCCAGAAGUUUACAAGAUUGAUUUCUGAAGGUCGUAAGGAUGUGACAAUAAACAGACUUCCAUAAAAAAUGGAAAGCCUAUACCCGUAUCUCCCUGAGAUUGUUUCUUGAAGUUGUUACUUGUAGAAUUUACUGGAAUUCUACUUAAAAUGAUGUCAUCCUUUCCCAGAACAGGUUUUUGUGGGUAGUUUCUAAUGUGUAGCUUUUCAGGUAAGUGCCUGUUAUCCCUAAGGCUAAAUUUGUUAUUUAGCUCUUCUGUGCCUGUUAAGCUUACAGGUGUCAAAAAGACACGAGCUUUUAAUUACAUUUAUUUUCCAGCUUUAUUGAGAUAUAAUUGACAUGUAACAUUGUAUAAGUUUAAGAUGUACAACUGCAGUGAUCUGAUAUAUGUGUAUAUUACAAAAUGAUCAUCACAAUAAGGUUAGUUAACACAUAGUUAUAAUCUUGGGGUAUAUGUUGAGAACUUUAAAACUCUAGUCUCCCUUAGCAACUUUCAAAUAUGUAAUACAGUAUUGUUAACUAUAGUCACAAUGUUGUAUGGUAUAUCUCUGAGACUUGUUCAUCUUCCAACUGGAAAUGGGUUUCCUUUGGUCACUUUUGCUCAUUUCCUGCCCUGUUCCUCACCCUGUGCCCCUGGCAACCACCAGUUCUUGUGAGUACAGUUUUUUUAGACUCGAUGUAAAAAUGUGAUCGUACAUUA